Molecule: ribosomal RNA, 1018 nt
Filed under: Parasitella parasitica
Lineage: Eukaryota; Fungi; Mucoromycota; Mucoromycetes; Mucorales; Mucoraceae
Description: LSU rRNA
Rfam family: Eukaryotic large subunit ribosomal RNA
Source: RNAcentral
GCAUAUCAUAGCGAGAAAAGAAAAUAACAAUGAUUUCCCUAGUAACGGCGAGUGAAGAGGAAAGAGCUCAAAGUUGGAAUCUGUUUGGCUUAGCUAAACCGAGUUGUAAACUGUAGAGGCAUUUUCCAGGUACACUAGACAAAAAAAGUCCUUUGGAACAGGGCAUCAUAGAGGGUGAGAAUCCCGUCUUUGGUCUAAGUAGUUGCCUAUUGUGAUAUGUCUUCAAAGAGUCAGGUUGUUUGGGAAUGCAGCCUAAAUUGGGUGGUAAAUCUCACCUAAAGCUAAAUAUCUGCGAGAGACCGAUAGCGAACAAGUACCGUGAGGGAAAGAUGAAAAGAACUUUGAAAAGAGAGUUAAACAGUAUGUGAAAUUGUUAAAAGGGAACCGUUUGGAGCCAGACUGGCUUGAUUGUAAUCAACCUGGGAUUCGUCCCGGGUGCACUUGCAGUCUAUGCCUGCCAACAACAGUUUGAUCUGGAGGAAAAAAUUAGCCGGAAUGUAGCCUCUCUCGGGAGGUGUUAUAGCCUGUUAUCAUACUCUGGGUUGGACUGAGGAUCGCAGCGAAUGCUCUCGGGCAGGAUUGCUGGGUGCUUUCGCCAAUAAAUGUUAGAAUUUCUGCCUCGGGUGGUGCUAAUGUUCAGCGGAGAAACUCGCCUAGUAUAUCUCUUAUUCGCUUAGGUUGUUGGCUUAAUGACUCUAAAUGACCCGUCUUGAAACACGGACCAAGGAGUCCACCAUAAGUGCAAGUAUUUGGGUGCCAAACCCAUAUGCGUAAGGAAACUGAUUGAUACGAAGUGGUCAAACAUGGCAGUAUCACCCGGCGUGGACGUUUUAACAGAAAUGACCGAGGUAAAGCACUUAUGAUGGGACCCGAAAGAUGGUGAACUAUGCCUGAAUAGGGUGAAGCCAGAGGAAACUCUGGUGGAGGCUCGUAGCGAUUCUGACGUGCAAAUCGAUCGUCAAAAUUUGGGUAUAGGGGGCGAAAGACUAAUCGAACCAUCUAGUAGCUGGUUCUGCGA